Molecule: ribosomal RNA, 440 nt
Filed under: uncultured bacterium
Lineage: Bacteria
Description: partial 16S ribosomal RNA
Rfam family: Bacterial small subunit ribosomal RNA
Source: RNAcentral
CCUACGGGUGGCAGCAGUAGGGAAUAUUGCUCAAUGGGGGAAAGCCUGAAGCAGCAACGCCGCGUGGAGGAUGCAGGUUUUCGGAUUGUAAACUCCUUUUGUUAGAGAAGAUAAUGACGGUAUCUAACGAAUAAGCACCGGCUAACUCCGUGCCAGCAGCCGCGGUAAUACGGGGGGUGCAAGCGUUACUCGGAAUCACUGGGCGUAAAGAGCGCGUAGGCGGGAUAGCAAGUCAGAUGUUAAAUCCUAUGGCUUAACCAUAGUACUGCAUUUGAUAAUGGUAUUCUAGAGUGUGGGAGAGGUAGAUGGAAUUCCUGGUGUAGAGGUAAAAUCCGUAGAUAUCAAGAGGAAUACUCAUUGCGAAGGCGACCUGCUAGAACAUAACUGACGCUGAUGCGCGAAAGCGUGGGUAGCAAACAGGAUUAGAUACCCUAGUAGUC